UAAUUGCAGCCAUUAUUCUCUUCUUCAUAACAACAUAAAAACCUAACGAUUUCAUCUUCCACUUCUCCUCUUUCACCCAAUAUAAAUUGAUGUAGCGUUCAAGCUACCACCAGGAAUCUCCUACAUAAAACGAAAUUGAAUACCGCAUGGAACUCAGAAGAACAUAAUUACAUCGAACCUAUCUCUACUCCAUAGAGCUGAAACGUUUCACCUAAGGGAUCUCCUCUCAAAAUCAAAAACUCCAAGCCGAUUGUAACUGAUGCCAGUUUCAUGCCUCUUCUCUUGCCGAUUCCGCCGUCGCCUCCUCCUCCUCAGCUUUGGCCGCGACGUCAGAGAAAUGCGAGAGGUCGUCUGUCAUGUGUUGGAUCACUUGAGAGAGAGGAAGGUCCACAGACUACGACGAGAAGGCAGGCUUACUCCUUCUGUUGGAUCCCCAGCUUACGACGACCUCGACUUUUUUUUAAUUCCACUGCGUUAGUUGAUGAUUAACCUAUUUAUAUUGUGUUGCAGAGAAUUUGAUGGUAACAGGAAUUUGUUGCACGAGAUCACUAGACUUUCACCUAAGGCGAAGACAAACUCUUCAUUAGUUCUCUGGGCAUAUUGCAUUACGAGAAACAACAAAAAGAAUCUAUGGCCUAAAUCACCAAGCAUCUCCUUCUGCUAUCUAUGGACCUAAUUAAUUUAGAAUUAUGCUGAUAAUUAGGAAGAAGUAUACUUGAUAGAGUAAUAUCAAUGUUCAAUAUUUUGUAUGUCUGUGUUUUGUCUAGGAUUAGUCUCUUCAAUUUGUUCAAAGUGCUUCUCUUCAGAUUGAUCAUAUAAUUUGGAAGCUUAAUUAAAUCUAUUAUAUUGGCUCCAUGUUUGAUUAUCUUUUCUCUAGGCACUUCUCUCCCAGGAUGUUCAGUCCAACAUUGCUCCAGCAAGUAGUGAACCUUACGGCAGAACAACAAUACGAGGGACAAGCAACUGGGUUGGACGGUUUCAUUUGACGGAAACUUGCAGCAAUGAACAUGGUUUCUCACACUCAAAUUACCAAAAGAAGAAGAAGAAGCUUCUCUCUCAAAUAUACACUGCAGGAAAGCAUUCUCUGAUGUUUUAAAGUGAUUUCAGUCUAAAACUCUCUUUUUUUUUAUAUUAUCAUCAAAUCUAAUAUGUCUGUUUCACUGCCACAGAGGACAUAAAUUGAUCGGGUCUCCUUUUGGAAAUCUGGAAUACAUGGAUGGGACCUUCCUGCCAGCAGAAUUAUCUAUGAAUGUGGGUUUUGUCUUUUUUUUUUAUAGAGAGGGAAUGAUGAGAGACGGUAUUUUGUUUCAGAUUCUUAAACACAGACUGGAAUAGGUGAGACGUACAAUUUGCAGACCUGAGAGGAAGGGAAAAAAAUGCUAUAUGACUGUUCAAGAUCAGUGAGAAAGUAGUCGUUGAUGCUACAAAUAAAGGGAAUAUAGCUCGGCUUAUCAACCAUUAGUAAGCAGUUCUAUGACAUGGUGUGAAGUUUCACAGUUAGGAGUGAUUGCGUUAAGACCCUUUUAGGAGAUUUUGUUACACUGCAAUAACUCAUUGAGACAAUUUUACUUCUACUCCCACUCUCUCACAAGGUAACACGCUCAGAAGGCAUCUUACUUUGUUCCAUGUAGUAUUUUUUUCAUUAGAAUAUAUGCUUGGUUUCAUCACUCCUCCUUUAAGUGUAAGAUGCAGCGGUUUGUGACGUGCAAUAAUGAUGGUAAACACACACAUGCGUUGUGUGUCGAAUAUUUAAUAAACUUUAGUGAGACUGGUUUUAUGUAAGCUGGAAUUGGUCAAAACCAGAUAAAAGCAAUAAAUAAACACAAGAAGUUAUCAGU
Long non-coding RNA from Brassica napus (rape), 1838 nucleotides. RefSeq lists it as uncharacterized. NCBI's taxonomy places the organism in Eukaryota, Viridiplantae, Streptophyta, Magnoliopsida, Brassicales, Brassicaceae. The transcript has 4 exons. The record is from RefSeq and is a predicted model, not a curated record.